UGGACACUGCCUUGAUUGUGGUUUUUCCUUUCUGUGGAAAUAACUGUUGGGCGCCGUCCCAUAGCAAGCCAGAAGCUAUCUGUCCGCCCUCGGGAAGCCGACGAGGGUUGGAUCGUUCCACUUCUGACAUUC
Molecule: non-coding RNA, 132 nt
Organism: Tachyglossus aculeatus (Australian echidna)
Lineage: Eukaryota; Metazoa; Chordata; Mammalia; Monotremata; Tachyglossidae
Product: small Cajal body-specific RNA 24
Exons: 1
Source: RefSeq, a predicted model, not a curated record